CGACCCGCUCGGCGCGCACGCCGAAGAUCCUUACCAGUUCUACGCCGAGGCGCGCCGCCGCGAGCCGGUGUUCUACUCGCCGCGGGUCGAC
This 91-nucleotide transfer RNA is filed under the name Actinoplanes siamensis. RNAcentral's name for it is "tRNA-Val". Lineage: Bacteria; Bacillati; Actinomycetota; Actinomycetes; Micromonosporales; Micromonosporaceae. The record is from RNAcentral.